UACAACUAAUUGAUCACAACCAGUU
RNAcentral lists this non-coding RNA (25 nucleotides) under Cricetulus griseus (Chinese hamster). Lineage: Eukaryota; Metazoa; Chordata; Mammalia; Rodentia; Cricetidae. The record is from RNAcentral.